CCUACGGGAGGCAGCAGUGGGGAAUAUUGCACAAUGGGCGCAAGCCUGAUGCAGCCAUGCCGCGUGUAUGAAGAAGGCCUUCGGGUUGUAAAGUACUUUCAGCGGGGAGGAAGGGUUUGAGGUUAAUAACCUCAUUCAUUGACGUUACCCGCAGAAGAAGCACCGGCUAACUCCGUGCCAGCAGCCGCGGUAAU
This 194-nucleotide ribosomal RNA is filed under the name uncultured bacterium. RNAcentral describes it as "partial 16S ribosomal RNA". It matches the Rfam family "Bacterial small subunit ribosomal RNA", at positions 338 to 524 of the family's 1533-position model. The record is from RNAcentral.